AGGGGUCACGGGGGAAAUGGGGAUUCGGGGCGGGGUGGAAUAGAGGGGUCAGGGGGGAAAUGGGAUUCGGGGGGGGGUGGAAUAGAGGGUCAUCGGGGGGGAAAUGGGGAUUCGGGGGGAUGGAAUAGAGGGGUCAGGGGGGGAAAUGGGGAUUCGGGGGGGGGUGGAAUAGAGGGAUCGGGGGGAAAUGGGGAUUCGGGGCGGGGUGGAAUAGAGGGGUGGAGGGGAAAUGGGGGGGGGGCUUGAGGGAGUUAUUGGGGGGGACUCGGGGGCUCAUGGAGGGCACAGAGGGGAGCAGGAGCAGCGCCUUCUGCCAGGGAUUCAGCCCCAUGGUGGGGGAAUGGGUGGGGGGUCCCAGGGGAAAAUGGGGCGGGUACGCGGGGGGUCCCAAGGCACCACAGCCGGGACAAAGCAAGGGGGGGCAACAGCAGCGGCUGGCGGGGCCCGAGCCCGUGGGAGGGACUGAGGAGGGCACAAGGGCAGGGGCGUGUGUGGGGCCGGGGGGCUCACAGGGGCAGAGAGGGGGUCAGGCCUGGGGGGCUGUGAGGUGGGACUGGGGGAAGCGUCGCGGACGGGACCCGCCCCUUCGCGCAACCCCCAGAGCAGCGGAAACGCUCGGGGACCACCCGAGACCCUCCCCCCAAGGCUCCGCCGUCCCGGUGCCCACCCAGGACCCGCUGAGACCCUCCCCAAGCCGGGUCCUGACACCUCCAAAGCCCUCCCGGUUCCGGGACCCCCGAGCCCCCCCCGCCCCUCACCGCGGCCGCCGCCGGCGCGGGCAGCGCGGGGCACGACGGGAGUGGGCGGGGCCUGCGCGCGCCGCCGGCCGCGAUUGGGCGAGCGCUGAGGGUGUGGCCUUUGAUGGGCGUGGUCUUGGUGGGCGUGUCGGAGUGGGCGUGGUUUGUGGGGUGGGCGUGGCCUCGACUUCCUCCCGAAUCGCCCCAAUUUCACCCCAACAGUCACCCCCCGGUUUCACCCCCAAAUGCCCCUCGGUUUUCACCCCCAAAUGCCCCCAAAUCCACCCCCAAAUCCCCCCGAUUUCAGCCCCAAAUUCCCCCCGAUUUCACCCCAAAUCCCCCCAAAUCCCCCCAAAUCCACCCCCAAAUCCUCCCGAUUUCACCCCCAAAUCCCUCCGGUUUCACCCCCCAAAUGCCCCCGGUUUCACCCCCAAAUCCCCCCGAUUU
RNAcentral lists this long non-coding RNA (1184 nucleotides) under Corvus moneduloides (New Caledonian crow). RNAcentral's name for it is "lncRNA (ENSCMUG00000018995.1)". Lineage: Eukaryota; Metazoa; Chordata; Aves; Passeriformes; Corvidae. The record is from RNAcentral.